GGAAUAUUGCACAAUGGGCGCAAGCCUGAUGCAGCCAUGCCGCGUGUGUGAAGAAGGCCUUAGGGUUGUAAAGCACUUUCAGCGAGGAGGAAGGCAUCACACUUAAUACGUGUGGUGAUUGACGUUACUCGCAGAAGAAGCACCGGCUAACUCCGUGCCAGCAGCCGCGGUAAUACGGAGGGUGCAAGCGUUAAUCGGAAUUACUGGGCGUAAAGCGCACGCAGGCGGUUUGUUAAGUCAGAUGUGAAAUCCCCGAGCUUAACUUGGGAACUGCAUUUGAAACUGGCAAGCUAGAGUCUUGUAGAGGGGGGUAGAAUUCCAGGUGUAGCGGUGAAAUGCGUAGAGAUCUGGAGGAAUACCGGUGGCGAAGGCGGCCCCCUGGACAAAGACUGACGCUCAGGUGCGAAAGCGUGGGGAGCAAACAGGAUUAGAUACCCGAG
RNAcentral lists this ribosomal RNA (440 nucleotides) under uncultured Rahnella sp. RNAcentral's name for it is "bacterial SSU rRNA". It matches the Rfam family "Bacterial small subunit ribosomal RNA", at positions 358 to 790 of the family's 1533-position model. Lineage: Bacteria; Pseudomonadati; Pseudomonadota; Gammaproteobacteria; Enterobacterales; Yersiniaceae. The record is from RNAcentral.